Molecule: long non-coding RNA, 5040 nt
Organism: Mizuhopecten yessoensis (Yesso scallop)
Lineage: Eukaryota; Metazoa; Mollusca; Bivalvia; Pectinida; Pectinidae
Exons: 3
Source: RefSeq, a predicted model, not a curated record
UUUGUUAGAUUUGAAGGCAGUAUAUGGAGGUGUUGCUGUACUUACCUUCGUUAGAUUUGAAGGCAGUAUACGGAGGUGUUGCUGUAGUGACCUUUGUUAGAUUUGAAGAAAUGAUGCUGUAGAGAUUGUUGUUUCGUCCACUCUAAAGUGUUAAACUGUGACUACUUAUCAGUGGAAAUGUUCAGGAAAUAUAAUCUUGUGGAUGACACGUCUAGUCAGCAGCUAGGUAAAGUUUUAAAAUUGUUGUUUUUGUGAUUUUGUAUUUUUAACCUAGAUAAGUUUAUUAUCGGUUUUUCCUAAAUGUUGGAAUGUCCAUGAUUAUGUUAUUUACAAAGACUGAGUUUAAACUUUCUAAUUGAUUUCACAGUCAUUUUCCAACAAUGCUUCUUUAAUAUCGUUCUACUACAAGAAUUGAUAACAUUUACUGCUAUAUAUCUGCCUGCUUAACUGGUAAAACAAUGAAAUCAUACCUGUUACAGGAUUAUUUAAUCAGUAAUUUGUGUGUUGGAGAGCAAUUUAUGUUUUCAUUUACAUCAAUUUCUAAUGUAUCCAGAAAUUGGUUUUUGUUCAUCUCUGAGCACAUUCUUUUCUUUUGUCUCUUUAAUCCUUAAACUCAUAAAAACCUCUUGAAAGUUCACUUCUGACUUUGUCCUGGUUCUUGGGUUGAACUCCUGUCAUUCAGACUCCAUGAGAAUUUCUGUAAGUGUGGGUCCUUCCCGUCAGUAUUCCUGGAUAGGCCUCUGAGUAUCAUUGCACCAGUAUUGGUGACCAGGAUAUAAGUCAUAAAAAGCAGUGAUUCUAUAACUCACCCAGUAGUAUACAAACAACAGUACUUAUGGGAUGGAGAGCAUCUAUUCAUAUUUUAUCCUCACAGAUUUCAUUUUCAUCAGUGUACAAUUGUUUCACUUCCUUUUUUAAAUAUUUUUACACCAUGUGUGACUUAAUUAACUCAUUCACCCCUGAAGACACAUUUGAACUCUUCCAAUUCAAAAGUUGGAAUAGUACAUCAUAAAAUUUCAGGGGUGAAUGAGUUAAGCUAGUUUGAUAGUUCUGUAGAGAAGGGCUUCCAUCAACUAUUACAUUGUUAGUUGACAGUAACUGUUAAAUGUGGUAAUUCUACAGUCACAUUUAAAUCAUAAUUUUUCAGAUCAUAAUCUGCGACAUAGAAUUAUUCUAGAGUAUUAACUCAUUCACCCCUGAAGACACAUUUGAACUCUUCCAAUUCAAAUAUUUCAAUAGUUCAUUAUGAAAUUUCAGGGGUGAAUGAGUUAAAUGGAAUAACAACUUUGUACAGGAAAAUGAAAUAGAAAUGAAUACUAAAUUUGUUUAAAGAUGGAAUUUUACUGUUUUCUUUGAUUUAUUUGUUUUAUAUACUUAACUUCGAUGUCAGAAAUUUUCCAGAUGUUUCCUUUACUUUGUAAGUUUUUGACGUGUAAGGUAAUAAAUCUCUAUGCAAUUUUGGCAACAAGUUGUAUUUGACUUCUGAUUGAAGUUUAUAAGUCAUGUUUAAACACAGAGAUUUGUAACGUUUAGGUAUAUGGGACCUAUUUCUAGAAGUCCAGAAAAAAACACCUGUAUAAAUCCCUGUGGUUCCCAAACUUAAGUGCUGAGAAAGGGAGCUGAUAGAGAAACGGGUGUGCUUGUGUUACAUAUUGGAUAAGGUAUUAAGUGCUGUUAUAUGUGUUAAGUGCUGUUAUAUGUGUAAGUGCUGUAUUUUACUGUGAUCAUUUACUACAAAACUUCUAUUACUGACAUUGAAAAUACGGACAGUACAGGUAAGUGUUCUACUUUGGUGUUUUCUCACUGUAAAUAUGGAUUGUAAACUUCAUUGAAGUCAUGUGCUUGUUGUAUACUGUACAUAUUGUAUAUAGCUUAGCUCACUCACACAGGAGCCGUUGAACUGUAUAAUCAUCACACAAGUGAGCUCAAUUUUUUUAGGAUUGAGAGUGAGCUGUAUAAUUUUUGUCACAUUCUGGGUGAUCAUCCUGUGGUUCAUGUUCCCCUGGGUGAUCAUCUUAUGGUAUAUGUUUCCCUGGGUGAUCAUCUUGUGGUACAUGUUCCCCUGGGUGAUCAUCCUGUGGUACAUGUUCCCCUGGGUGAUCAUCUUGUGGUACAUGUUCCCCUGGGUGAUCAUCCUGUGGUACAUGUUCCCCUGGGUGAUCAUCUUGUGGUACAUGUUCCCCUGGGUGAUCAUCCUGUGGUACAUGUUCCCCUGGGUGAUCAUCUUGUGGUACAUGUUCCCCUGGGUGAUCAUCCUGUGGUACAUGUUCCCCUGGGUGAUCAUCUUGUGGUACAUGUUCCCCUGGGUGAUCAUCCUGUGGUACAUGUUCCCCUGGGUGAUCAUCUUGUGGUACAUGUUCCCCUGGGUGAUCAUCCUGUGGUACAUGUUCCCCUGGGUGAUCAUCUUGUGGUACAUGUUCCCCUGGGUGAUCAUCCUGUGGUACAUGUUCCCCUGGGUGAUCAUCUUGUGGUACAUGUUCCCCUGGGUGAUCAUCCUGUGGUUCAUGUUCCCCUGGGUGAUCAUCGUGUGGUACAUGUUCCUCAGAGUGAUUAUUCUGAGGUACAUGUUCCCCUGGGUGAUCAUCUUAUGGUACAUGUUCCCCUGGGUGAUCAUCUUAUGGUACAUGUUCCCAUGGGUGAUAAUCUUGAGGUACAUGUUCCCCUGGGUGAUUAUUCUGAGGUACAUGUUCCCCUGGGUGAUUAUUCUGAGGUACAUGUUCCCCUGGGUGAUUAUUCUGUGGUUCAUGUUCCCCUGGGUGAUCAUCGUGUGGUACAUGUUCCUCAGAGUGAUUAUUCUGAGGUACAUGUUCCCCUGGGUGAUCAUUGUGUGGUACAUGUUCCCCUUGGUGAUUAAUCUGUGGUACAUGUUCCCCUGGGUAAUUAUCCUAUAGUACAUGUUUCCCCGGGUGAUCAUUGUGUGGUACAUGUGCCCCUUGGUGAUUUAUCUGUGGUACAUGUUCCCCUGGGUAAUUAUCCUAUAGUACUUGUUACCCCGGGUGAUUAUUCUGAGGUACAUGUUCCCCUGGGUGAUUAUUCUGUGGUUCAUGUUCCCCUGGGUGAUCAUCGUGUGGUACAUGUUCCUCAGAGUGAUUAUUCUGAGGUACAUGUUCCCCUGGGUGAUCAUUGUGUGGUACAUGUUCCCCUUGGUGAUUAAUCUGUGGUACAUGUUCCCCUGGGUAAUUAUCCUAUAGUACAUGUUUCCCCGGGUGAUCAUUGUGUGGUACAUGUGCCCCUUGGUGAUUUAUCUGUGGUACAUGUUCCCCUGGGUAAUUAUCCUAUAGUACAUGUUCCCCUGGGUGAUCAUUGUGUGGUACAUGUUCCCCUUGGUGAUUAAUCUGUGGUACAUGUUCCCCUGGGUAAUUAUCCUAUAGUACAUGUUUCCCCGGGCGAUCAUUGUGUGGUACAUGUGCCCCUUGGUGUUUUAUCUGUGGUACAUGUUCCCCUGGGUAAUUAUCCUAUAGUACAUGUUUCCCCGGGCGAUCAUUGUGUGGUACAUGUGCCCCUUGGUGAUUUAUCUGUGUUACAUGUUCCCCUGGGUAAUUAUCCUAUAGUACAUGUUCCCCCGGGUGAUCAUUGUGUGGUACAUGUUCCCCUUGGUGAUUAAUCUGUGGUACAUGUUCCUAUGGGUGAUUUAUCUGUGGUACAUGUUCCCCUUGGUUAUUCAUCUGUGGUACAUGUUCCCAUGGGGGAUUAUCCUGAGCUUCAUGUUGCCUUGGGUUAUUAUACUGUGGGCACGUUCCGUGGACAUUUUCUCUGGUAAAAUGUAAUUGUUACUACAGAGCUGUACAUAUAUUUGAUUUAAUUCAACUUUGCUUCUUUAUUACAAAAAAAAUCAUGUUGAAUGAUGAACAAAUGAAAUAAAAAAUAAGAGAAAUUCAAUAGUUGUUUUUUAUUGUCCAUAGAUGGUUCUUUUCUUAGCCUGUUACAGAAUGUAUUCUUCUCCAACCUAUGCUAUGGAAAAGAUGGCUCCUGCCUAUUUCACUUAUUAUGGAACUUCUUUACCUCAAUUAAUCCAUAAAUAUUCAAAUAAUGUCACAUCAUUUUACUGAGCUUGAGUUGCACAAGGAAAGCUACAGGCACUCUGGUAAAAAAUAAAAUAAAUAACUUAAAGUAUCCUUUUAGAUGUCAUAUACAUAUUUCAACUGUAUUUACAAUGAGCAGAAUUUUAAGCUCUGAUGUCAUCAGUGUGAGCUAUUGACAUGCCCUUUCGUUCGGUGUCCAUUAUCCUUUCUACAUAAUAAACUUAAAACUUUUUCUAACCAAUUUUGCCCAAUACCUAGUUAGAAUGAUGAGUGCAUAGGUCUGACUGAUUCUUGUUAUUUUGGGGCUGAUUUAUGAUCCAAUAUGGCAGCCAAUUUUUAAAUCUAUUUGGAAUUAUAACUUGAAUCUACGGAAGUAAUUUGUCCAAAACUUAGAUGGAAAGAUCAGCACACAGACCUAACCCAUUCUUGUUUUCGCCAUAAACUGUUCAUAUUAUUCUGCUCUCACUUCGAUGGAAAUUGAGCUAAACACAUAGUCUAACCAAAGUGAAGCUGAAAAUAUAGGUCACAAUGACCUACCUAAUUUGAUUAAUGUAAUACUCCUUGAACUGUAUCACAUAUGAAGUUUGAUGAAUGUUGGACCUAGUAUGGGCAGAUCUACAUAAAAGUCCAACACUAAAUGUGACUAUAAUAAUCACAAGCUUGAGAACACAUCUCUUUUAUGCGUCUCCCACAUCCGCGGACAUGUCAAGGGCAAUAACUCUUCUAAGACUGAGAAACAGGACACCAGUACGUUGUUUCUGCUGUAGUAAAACCUCACUUAGAUAUAAAAAACAAAGGUAGGAUUACUUAUUUUCACAUUUUGUAGCUUUUAAUCACUUGUGGUUCAAGUAAAGAAAUACAAUGGUAUCACAGUAAGGGUUAAUGAUAUGUUGGACGUAAUUCACUAUCUUGGACCACCAUGGUCGGGAAUAGUUCACAAGAAAAAACAUAUAUACACAACAUACAUAAAACACAUGAUAAUGAUGUAUCAACAAUUAAGACAUCAGACAUGCCACCU